CAGGGGAACGACGAGGGAGCCAUGUGCAGGUUAGCUUUGUUAUUUUGCUCCUUUAAUUUUACGUUGGUGAUGGGCACCCCAAGUACAAGUUUUUUUUCUAUAUAGUUUGUUCCGUACGUUGAGAUUUGGCACGCACAAGAUCGACACUGUAUUGACCAGCUGCAACGACGACGACGCAGGCAGACAGACAGACAGACACGAUCUACUACUACAAAAUGUUAGUAGGUUUUUGUGCGCGCGUGCAUGGACCAUAGUAUUCUCAAUGUGAGUACAAGCUGACAGGCACAUGACUACAAGAUAAGCACAGCAUUGCUAUAGAUCUCCUGCAUCGCAAUCGCCACUUUCCAAAAGCCAUGCAUCCAGAUCAGCGCCGGCCGCUUCCAUUAUCAACUCGCGAUAACUAACCUUUACUCGAUUGAUCGCCAGCCAUCUAGAUUGAGCGCUUGCGAUCGAGCACACAUAUAGGUAGCCACUCAACAAAAAAGUCCAAUGUACUGUAGUACGCUCGUUGAAAGGAAAAAGAAGGAUCGGACAAAGUCGACCGUAUAUUCGACCUUUGCCCAGCUGGGGUCCACACCACACGCAGCAACAAUCCAUGCUGGCAAUGGUUAGGAGCAGGAGCCAGGAGGACUCGGAGGCAGGCGGCUCUCACUCACAGCUCAGCAUGGCGCCCCACACCUGGUGACCAAAGGCAGGGGUUGCGGGUCACAACUGACAAGAGGUGCGGCCACACUCCAAGAAAAUAUUCACCGUAGAUCGUCCACGGAACAAAGCCGCGGAGAUGAUGUUGUUGCUUGAAUAAUUUUCUACCGUCUCUUCUCCGUUUUAUUGUAGUUAGAUUUAACCAUAAUAAAGAACUAGAGAAAAUAAUUUUCAGAUUAGUCAUCCUUACUCUUCGGUGACAGAAAAAAGAAGAAAGACGACAUCAGAAAGAAGAAGUUCCUCAAUUCCGCCUUCGUUCGUUGGGCAUUUGUUCUCACGUCAUUUGCCAAGUGUUUGCCUAUGCAGUCAUCCAUACUGCAAAUCAUCUAACAAGUUAGGUUUUGGUUUUGAGUUAUGUUUUACACAUCGUGAGUACUAUAUUGUAAUCCAAAGUGCUUAUAACGAAAAAAAAACUCAUGAGGCACGGGGGACACUGCACGUAGGUGCGUGGAGGCUCAUGCUCACCCUCAAUUCUAUUUCUAUCCCAUCGGGACCAUGGCUUUACACGUUAGUAUUUUUUUUCUUCUUCUUCACACUUGCACGUACCUUUGACACGCGCGCACUCCCAGGCCAAAAAAGGAAUGGAAACCAAACUGUUGGGAAAGAACACUUAACAGUAGUUUAUACUGUAUUGUGUCGUGGCAAUUGUGGUGAAUGGACUGUAGUGGCAUUGUGGCAAGGCAAAUAAAGAGAUGUUACAACUGCACAAGUGGCUGGCCACAUGCACAGACGGGGAUCUUUAUUUUGGGCCCAAUGCACCACUAGACGCUGCUGCUGCCCUUUCAGGCUUCAUUAUUCAGCUGACACUAACAGGAAGGAAUAAAUCUGAUCUAAAUCCCAUAGGGACAGCGGUGAAUUGGUGAUCGAUCGAUCAAAUGCGUAUAACGCACAUGCAAAGAGCCAAAGAUGAAGGGCUCAUGAUUCUUGGAUCAGUCUAUGAUUGCUGCUGCCUUUUGUAGGACAGGAGACCGUACCCUGCACGAUUUCAGUGUGAUUGGACGAUGAGCAAUUUGUUUUUCCUCUUUAAUUUUGUCCGCUAGGGGAUAAGGAUGAUUUGCCAUGGAGCACGUGGGGCCUACACAAAAAGUAUGUAAGCCAUGCUCUUUGAUUCUUUCUGCCUAGAAUUCUUUCUUUAUGGAAAUAUUAAUGUUCCAGCACAUACUGUACACGGAUACAUCGUGGAAUAUUCUCAUCAAAACUCUGAUCCGGCGGAGCGACAUUUCUAACGACAUCUCUAUUAAGUAUAGUACUGCCGUACAAAUAUGGUGGAAGAAAGACACUACUGCUUUCGGCAUGCACCCGGCUAUUGUGGUCGGUAGGUUUGAAGACUCAAGAGUGGUUACGGUUCUGUGAAAGAAGCUUGCAAACAAAAGAAUGGAGUAGUACUACUAGCUAGGAGUAGAUCACUGAACUGAUGGAACUCUUUCACUUUACCUUUCCCUUU
This 2146-nucleotide long non-coding RNA is filed under the name Sorghum bicolor (sorghum). RNAcentral's name for it is "long non-coding RNA (SBIC_LNC007424)". Lineage: Eukaryota; Viridiplantae; Streptophyta; Magnoliopsida; Poales; Poaceae. The record is from RNAcentral.